ACUAGUUAACCUACCUCAAAGAGGAAAAUAUUCUCCCGAAAGGAAGAUUAAGACCGCAUAAAAUGUUUUGAUCGCAUGAUCGAAACAUCAAAGGAUGCAUCCGCUUUGAGAUGGACCCGCGGGCAUUAGCUAGUUGGUGAGGUAACGGCUCACCAUGGCGACGAUGCGUAGCCGACCUGAGAGGGUGAUCGGCCACAUUGGAACUGAGACACGGUCCAGACUCCUACGGGAGGCAGCAUCUGGGGAAUAUUGCGCAAUGGGGGAAACCCUGACGCAGCAACGCCGCGUGAAUGAUGAAGGCCUUCGGGUUGGAAUUAUCUGUCUUCUGGGACAAUAAUGACGGUACCAGAGGAGGAAGCCACGUGUAACUGCUUGCGACCGACCACGGUAAUACGUAGGUGUUCAGCGUUGUCCGGAUUUACUGGGCGUAAAGGAUGCGUUCUUCGACAUUUAAGUCAGAUGUGAAAUACGCGAGCUUAACUUGGCGGCUGCAUUUGAAACUGUUUGUCUAGAGUGCUUGAGAGGUAAGUGCAAUUCCUAGUGUAGCGGUGAAUGCGUAGAGAUUAGGAAAAACGCCAUUGGCAAAGGCGACUUACUGGACUGUA
RNAcentral lists this ribosomal RNA (605 nucleotides) under uncultured Clostridium sp. Its description in RNAcentral is "bacterial SSU rRNA". It matches the Rfam family "Bacterial small subunit ribosomal RNA", at positions 113 to 738 of the family's 1533-position model. Lineage: Bacteria; Bacillati; Bacillota; Clostridia; Eubacteriales; Clostridiaceae. The record is from RNAcentral.